UUACGGCCAUAUCACAUUGAAACAUCGGUUCCCGUACGAUCACCGAAGUUAAGCAACAUCGAACCUAGUCAGUACAUAGAUGGAUGACCGCUUGGGAAUACCAGAUGUUGUAUG
Molecule: ribosomal RNA, 114 nt
Filed under: Acanthosepion pharaonis
Lineage: Eukaryota; Metazoa; Mollusca; Cephalopoda; Sepiida; Sepiidae
Source: RNAcentral